GACGAACGCUGGCGGCGUGCCUAAUACAUGCCAGUAGAACGCACAGUUUAUACCGUAGCUUGCUACACCAUAGACUGUGAGUUGCGAACGGGUGAGUAACGCGUAGGUAACCUGCCUGGUAGCGGGUGAUAACUAUUGGAAACGAUAGCUAAUACCGCAUAAUAUUAAUUAUUGCAUGAUAAUUAAUUGAAAGGUGCAAUUGCACCACUACCAGAUGGACCUGCGUUGUAUUAGCUAGUAGGUGAGGUAACGGCUCACCUAGGCGACGAUACAUAGCCGACCUGAGAGGGUGAUCGGCCACACUGGGACUGAGACACGGCCCAGACUCCUACGGGAGGCAGCAGUAGGGAAUCUUCGGCAAUGGACGAAAGUCUGACCGAGCAACGCCGCGGGAGUGAAGAAGGGUUUCGGAUCGUAAAGCUCUGUUGUAAGAGAAGAACGGGGGUGAGAGUGGAAAGUUCACACUGUGACGGUAUCUUACCAGAAAGGGACGGCUAACUACGUG
This 505-nucleotide ribosomal RNA is filed under the name uncultured bacterium. RNAcentral's name for it is "partial 16S ribosomal RNA". It matches the Rfam family "Bacterial small subunit ribosomal RNA", at positions 28 to 507 of the family's 1533-position model. The record is from RNAcentral.